Long non-coding RNA from Oncorhynchus keta (chum salmon), 2566 nucleotides. RefSeq lists it as uncharacterized. Lineage: Eukaryota; Metazoa; Chordata; Actinopteri; Salmoniformes; Salmonidae. The record is from RefSeq and is a predicted model, not a curated record. The transcript is spliced from 3 exons.
UAGAUGGCAGAAACAGAACAAGACCUGCAGAACAUGUUAUUAUGUGCAGUCUGUUGGUGUAAAAGAUGGAGACUCAACCAGACAAAAACACAGAUAAUGACUUUUAGAAACCAGGUACUAAGAGAAGUUCUCUUCUUGAGUUUACUAGCAAUUAUAAAUAUUUGGGAAUUUUUAUUGAUGAACAUUUUACCUUUCUAUACGGACCAUCUGCCCUGGCCGACUCAGCGAGUAGAGCUCUAAGGGGAGUUAUAGGAAAAAUAAAACCACUGAAAGAUAUUGGUUGCGCUGCGUAUUCUAAACUGUAUUAGACAUGCGUGAGUCCUGCUCUGGACUAUUCAGCAGGAGUGUGGGGUGCUAAGAGGUAUUUUAAAAAUGAACAUGUCCAUAACAGAGCUGUACAUUACUGUUUAGGUGUCCACACGUGUUCUGGGAACCCUGUGAGGUGAGAUGGAAGGAAUGCAUGGUGAGACUUUGGAAUAGACUGUUAGAUAUGCCAGAAUAGCUAGUAACAUUUUUCAGUGGGAUCUAUCCAUAGGGGGAGCCUGGGCAACUGAAAUAUCUGACCUUUUUCUACAUUCUGACUGUGAACAUCUGUACGUAAUAAACAAAUUACGGGAGACUAAAACACAACUGUUGAUGCAAUAUGAAAGAAAAAAUGGAUGGAGGAGAUUAAUCGUAAACCCAAAUUGAGGAUAUUUUGUUUUUAUUAAGUGUGAAUUUGUGUGUGAGAGAUAUAUUAUGUAUAACCUACCUAAAAGCAAUGUGCACAGGUAAGAUAAGGGAUAUUGCCUCUGCGUAUUGAAACAGGUAAGGUCAGGGAUAUUGCCUCUGCGUAUUGAAACAGGUAAGGUCAGGGAUAUUGCCUCUGCGUACUGAAACAGGUCAGAUCAGUGAUAUUGUCUCUGCGUAUUGAAACAGGUCAGAUCAGGGAUAUUGCCUCUGCGUAUUGAAACAGGUCAGAUCAGGGAUAUUGCCUCUGCGUAUUGAAACAGGUCAGAUCAGGGAUAUUGCCUCUGCUUAUUGAAACAGGUCAGAUCAGGGAUAUUGCCUCUGCUUAUUGAAACAGGUCAGAUCAGGGAUAUUUCCUCUGCGUAUUGAAACAGGUCAGAUCAGGGAUAUUUCCUCUGCGUAUUGAAACAGGUCAGAUCAGGGAUAUUGCCUCUGCUUAUUGAAACAGGUCAGAUCAGGGAUAUUGCCUCUGCUUAUUGAAACAGGUCAGAUCAGGGAUAUUGCCUCUGCUUAUUGAAACAGGUCAGAUCAGGGAUAUUGCCUCUGCUUAUUGAAACAGGUCAGAUCAGGGAUAUUGCCUCUGCUUAUUGAAACAGGUCAGAUCAGGGAUAUUUCCUCUGCGUAUUGAAACAGGUCAGAUCAGGGAUAUUGCCUCUGCUUAUUGAAACAGGUCAGAUCAGGGAUAUUGCCUCUGCUUAUUGAAACAGGUCAGAUCAGGGAUAUUGCCUCUGCGUAUUGAAACAGGUCAGAUCAGGGAUAUUUCCUCUGCGUAUUGAAACAGGUCAGAUCAGGGAUAUUGCCUCUGUGUACUGAAACUGGUCAGAUCAGGGAUAUUGCCUCUGCGUAUUGACACAGGUAAGGUCAGGGAUAUUGCCUCUGCGUAUUGAAACAGGUCAGAUUAGGGAUAUUGCCUCUGCAUACUGAAACAGGUCAGAUCAGGGAUAUUUCCUCUGCGUAUUGAAACAGGUCAGAUCAGGGAUAUUGCCUCUGCGUAUUGAAACAGGUCAGAUCAGGGAUAUUGCCUCUGCGUAUUGAAACAGGUCAGAUCAGGGAUAUUUCCUCUGCGUAUUGAAACAGGUCAGAUCAGGGAUAUUGCCUCUGCGUAUUGAAACAGGUCAGAUUAGGGAUAUUGCCUCUGCGUAUUGAAACAGGUAUUGUGGUGAAAUGGAAGAGGAAGACUAUGUAACUAUUGUGACCUUGAAGAAAUAGAGAAUGAAACUCAUUUGAUCCUCUAAUGCCCUUUCUACCACGACUUAUUCCAGAAAGUACACCAGAUAUACCUUGGCAUGGCAUUAUGUGGCUGAGCGAUGAGGAUGAAUGUUUUUUUGUCCAUUGUGUAUUUCCGUUUGCGGAAUAUUUAAAGCCUGGAAUAAAAGAAAAAGGGCUACCUAUAAUUUGUAAAAAUAUUCAGCUUCUAUGUGGUAAAUGGCACGUGUGUAUAAAAAUUGUGUAUAGGCUUGUCUCCCAUAUGAAUCUUCUAUGUGGUAAAUGCACGUGUGUAUAUAGAUUGUGUAUAGGCUUGUCUCCCAUAAGAAUCUUCUCUUUGUGCCAGACUGGGUUCAAAUGCCUUCCGUUUCUUUUUUUCUAUGUUUAUUUAUCUGUAUAUGUUGUGUGUGUAUGUAUGUAUGUACAUUAUUGUACUGUUCUAGGCAUGUAAUGUUUGGAUAACCUUAUUUACUAUUGUGUAUUGAUUUUUACCUUACAUUUUGUUCACUCUUCAUGCGAUGCGCAAUGCAGAUUGAAUCAUUGUUUAAUUACCACAGGGAAUUAUUGUAAUCUUUGUUUAUGUGUCAAUUAAUCCCAUAAGGGAUGGGUUGCCAUGAGGCGAUUUGACACG